UAGUGCCUCAAUAAAUUGCUGAGACUGACUUUGAACUCUGAAUCCUCCUGUCUAAGCCUCUGGAGCUGCUGGGAUUACAGGUGUGUGCCACUGAGCCUGGUGAAUUAUCUCUUUUUAAAGUUUAAUGAACGCUUUGAAAAUAAUUCUGGCCCUGGAAUCUUUGCAAAAAUAUAUAUGCAUUCCUUCUCCAACAAUUAUCGUAGCUUAAGGUUUUGCAGGUCUACAUCUACUGAUGGGUGUUUUUGUUGACUAUUGUUUGUUCCUGUUUUCACAGUGCUAUCUUCCUGGGACGCCACUAAAAUAAUCUUUGACCUUCUUUUUCAGAAGGGAACAUGAAUUUAUACAAAAUGUUCCAUCUAUCAAAAACGACCUCCAAACCAAAAGUAACUUAAAACAAAAUUUUUAUUUUGCUCAUAAAUUUGUUGAUUAGCAAUUCAGGAAAGGCUUAGAUGGGUAGUUGGCCUCUGAUUCACAUGAUAUUAUCUAGGGCAGCCAAAGCAGGAAAAUCCACAUCCAAGAUAUUUUUUUUUUCUUCACAUGCCUGAUGCCAUGGUGUUGCUUAGCUCGCUUGUGCUCUCUCUCUCUCUUUCUCUCUCUCCCCUUUUAAUUGCUGUGAAAUUCUAGAACCUCUCCAUGUGUUUUUUACUUCCCAUAGUGAUGUCUCAAGGGUAGUUUCCCAUCUUUACUGGCAUCUGUUUUCCAAAACACUAUGAGCAAAAGCUUCCCAACCAGCCAAGGCCUCACAGAGGAUAGGAACAACCUCAGCGCUGGUGUGUUCCAUCGGUUAAAGCAGUCACAGGGCCUGCUCAGAUCCAAGGGACCAGAGAACCAGAACUGACCCAUUGAUGUGGAAUUGGCAAUGUCCAUGGCUGAAAAACAUGUGGGAUGGGAGGUACUGCAGUCAUGUUUAGAAAAUAUUUUGUCAAGAUAACAUGAAAUCCCUGCUCUGACUUUAUGUGAGGCUGGGCUUGUUUUUGUGCCUCUUAGAGAAGACCAAGGUUGAAUUUGACACUCAUCAUCUCUCUGGGGAAAAUCACUUUGAAGAAUGCAGCAAAUUAUUUUGUAUACUACAUCCAAGGCUACUGAACCAGAAGAAUAAGGACAUACUGCUUGUGAGUUCAGCUGGAUCAAUAGCUCAGCCCUGGGAUUUGCUUGUCUGCUGGAUAUUGAAUGAAAAGCUCUAAGCUGCCAGUUUGUACCAUGGAUAUUGAAGACCCCAGUACAGCCAAACGACAUUUUUCAUAAGACAGAAAGUAACUUACCUGUAAAAAUGUUCAGAUAUAUGGGCCUACAACACAUUAAGACUAUGAAAUGUGCUUUGGCAUUCUCUGUAGGAAAUUCUCCCUUGUAUUACUCAAGAGAAACGGUGCAUGUGUGUGUGUGUGUGCGCACACAUAUCUACACAAAAAUAUAUAUUGGUAGAAUGCCUCAAAGCACUUUACAGUCAUGGUCAAAUCCAUUCUUAUACCUGUGUGAAUAAAAUGUGAGUAGUUGUUAUUUCCUCCUUUUUUCUGUUAGAGAGCAUGACACAGCUGGCCAACCUGCUCAGGAGCCACUAUUCUUCAACCCUCAUUUUCUUGACUACAACUGUCGCCACCGUGGGCCAUCUGGUAGCAGAAUGUGUUUGCAGUUUAUAAGUCCUCACAUGAGACACCUGACAAGGAAGUGUUCCUGACUUCUAUUCUGCACUCCAUGUUUGUCUUCAGGACAUAGGUCCUAAUAUCAUAGCAGCAACAUACCCAAACAGGACUCCUCAUAGAAUGAAACUAACAAAUACAGAGAUAUUAGAAACAAGUUUUCAUGUUUAGCUUGAGAUCCCUAUGAAACUGUCCCUAUUCUGGAUAAAACAGCUUUUUGAAGUGGUAUUUAGAAACAGCCAUGAGAAAGGGGGCAAUACAAAUGAAGCAAUUAAAAAUAGAAAAAUAAAAGUCAUCCUGCUGAAAAUGGCUAUGCACUGAACCAACGCAAGAUUUCAGGCAUUUGGCUGCACUUAUUAUGCUUUCCCUCUUGACUAUACUCAGAGUAGAAGCUUGCCAUCCAGAAUGAUAGGAUAAGUGAAAGCUUUCAACCUCUUGUUCGGGCUCAGCUGCCUUCCUGAGAAUCUAAGAGUGCUUUCCUGGCGUGGGGCCCAGCUGUGGUUGGCAAGAGAAGGCAAGUUGCCACUUGAAACUCUUUGUCACUGCAAAGUGGCCCUUGCCUUUGGAGUCUCCCCUAACUUCAGCUUCUGCUUUGAGUGGUGGUUUGGUGACUGAACUGACAGAAAUAAUGCAGAAGCAUAAAAAUGAUUGGUGAGACAAUACUUUUCACUGUAGUGAAAAGAAAACUUCUGCUGUGAUUGGACAAUUUGCCUGUGCUUCCAGACCAAGACAAUAGGUUGGACCACCAACCAGGAAGUGAGGGGGAAUUUUCUUCUUCCUUCCUCCCCCCAUUCCCCCCAUGCCCAUCCUCACUUUAAAAGAUGUUUGAUACUUUUAGGAAGUGAGGAGUGCAAAGUAAUCACCUGAGAAAAUGAUCUUGAGUCACAUUACUGUUGUCUCUCUCCAUUCAAAAUGUCCUUUCACGGACACUUGCAUGACCUCUGUGAAUCUUAACCACAGGACUCACGUAGCACAAUCUCCGCAAUCAAUCAAAUGUGAGUUCAAAUUGUAUGAUGUUGGAUAAAUUGUUCAAUGUUUUCAAGUGUCUGUUUUUUCUCAUUAAAUUACAAGAAUAAUGUUUUAUUUCAUAAGGUGGUUGUGAGGAUUAAUUUAGAUACUGUAAGUAAAUAGCUAAGUUCAAUACCAGGCACUGUUGUAAGCUUUUAGUGAAUGGCAUGUGGUCAGCAUUUCUUAAUUGUCCAAUGUUUUCUUUUCCCACCCAAUAAAGGUCUAGACAUAACUAGCUUCAAA
Ictidomys tridecemlineatus (thirteen-lined ground squirrel) is the source of this 2888-nucleotide long non-coding RNA. RefSeq lists it as uncharacterized. NCBI's taxonomy places the organism in Eukaryota, Metazoa, Chordata, Mammalia, Rodentia, Sciuridae. The record is from RefSeq and is a predicted model, not a curated record.